Molecule: ribosomal RNA, 468 nt
Filed under: uncultured bacterium
Lineage: Bacteria
Description: partial 16S ribosomal RNA
Rfam family: Bacterial small subunit ribosomal RNA
Source: RNAcentral
GACGAACGCUGGCGGCGUGCUUAACACAUGCAAGUCGAACGGAAAGGCCCUGCUUUUGUGGGGUGCUCGAGUGGCGAACGGGUGUGUAACACGUGAGUAACCUGCCCUUGACUUUGGGAUAACUUCAGGAAACUGGGGCUAAUACCGGAUAGGGGUUCCUGCUGCUUGUUGGGGGUUGGAAACUUUCGGCGGUUGGGGAUGGACUCGCGGCUUAUCAGCUUGUUGGUGGGGUAGUGGCUUACCAAGGCUUUGACGGGUAGCCGGCCUGAGAGGGUGACCGGCCACAUUGGGAAUGAGAUACGGCCCAGAAUCCUACGGGAGGCAGGAGGGGGGAAUAUUGCACAAUGGGCGGAAGACUGAGGCAGAAACGCCGCGUGCGGGAUAACGGCCUUCGGGUUGUAAACCGCUUUCGCCUGUGACGAAGCGUGAGUGACGGUAAUGGGUAAAGAAGCACCGGCUAACUACGUG